GACGAACGCUGGCGGCGUGCUUAACACAUGCCAGUCGAACGGAAAGGCCCUGCUUUUGUGGGGUGCUCGAGUGGCGAACGGGUGAGUAACACGUGAGUAACCUGCCCUUGACUUUGGGAUAACUUCAGGAAACUGGGGCUAAUACCGGAUAGGAGCUCCUGCUGCAUGGUGGGGGUUGGAAAGUUUCGGCGGUUGGGGAUGGACUCGCGGCUUAUCAGCUUGUUGGUGGAGUAGUGGCUUACCAAGGCUUUGACGGGUAGCCGGCCUGAGAGGGUGACCGGCCACAUUGGGACUGAGAUACGGCCCAGACUCCUACGGGAGGCAGCAGUGGGGAAUAUUGCACAAUGGGCGGAAGCCUGAUGCAGCAACGCCGCGUGCGGGAUGACGGCCUUCGGGUUGUAAACCGCUUUCGCCUGUGACGAAGCGUGAGUGACGGUAAUGGGUAAAGAAGCACCGGCUAACUACGU
RNAcentral lists this ribosomal RNA (467 nucleotides) under uncultured bacterium. RNAcentral describes it as "partial 16S ribosomal RNA". It matches the Rfam family "Bacterial small subunit ribosomal RNA", at positions 28 to 506 of the family's 1533-position model. The record is from RNAcentral.